CUACCUUAGUCAAAAGAAGCGAACAGCAGUUAUGGCUGAGAAUAAAUGACUGUUAAGUGCUCAGCCCUAAAUAGGGCAUCUGUAUUAACCCUGCCACAGCUCAGGAACCAUUGCUGAGGAGGAAGAAUGUAAGAGCUGGAGGACAGGAGGAGAGCCAUGAAACACUGUCUUCGGGACAUGGCCUGGCCAUUGUACUCAGGAACUCACAGUAGCUGAGCCCCAACAUUCCAGCAUGGAUGGAGAAAGAGCCUCACAAUGGACUUCAGUAAGCCUGUGUGUGCUGGUCUUCCUGGAUAGAGCAGCCGGAAGUGAAGAGUGUGGAACUUGCCAUCCAAGACCACAGUUGUCACCAAGAUCUGCAUGGCAACCACUCAGGAGGGCUCCUGCUGGGUGUUCUCCGUGUCUGGAGCCGCUCUGUAACCACAGGCCCACCGCUCACCAAGGCCUCUGCCUACCGUAGGAAGUGGCGCUGUGUUUGUUCACCCGGCGGAGCUUCCAAGGAUAUGCAUUAAACUUGCGUCCCUGCCAGCCCUGGCAGUUUGCGGCAUUCUUGCUGAGGAAAGGCUCGUUUUCCUGCACUCAAGGAGGCAUGGCACUGUGUAACCUUGGUGGUCUCCACACUUCUUAUAACUGAACUUGGAGCUGUACUGCUCUGUCAAACUUUUUCCUGCACUCAAGGAGGCAUGGUAAUGCCAUGAAGGGGACAGGUAACACCAUGAAGCUCUCAGAUCUUCUCUUCCAGACACCAUUAACCCUUAAAGGGAUCAGGUAUGAAUCAAUACUAUUACAAAUAAAGAAUUGUGUUACCAGGAGGCUAGGGACAGAUCUUCCUUAUUUAAUUGUAAUUAAUAAACGAGGAAUGAAGAGCAUUAAUCUAAGGGAAAAUCCACACAAACCAGAGAUUGUAAUUUAAAUGAGCCUUGAGGUUGUUAGUAUUCAGGCAUCUGUGCUGGCCUGUCCUUGGGGUUCUGAUAGGGUACGCCCUCAGCUGCUGCCACUAAGAGUACCCCCUGUGCACAUUCACUAUGUUCCCCUUUAAAAAGGCCCUGCCCAACUCCCAUCCCUCCCUCUCUCCCUCUCCUCCUCCCCUCUCUUUCUCUGCCCUUUUUCUGCCCCUCUCUCCCCUAUAGCCCCUCUGCCCCAUUGGUUCCCUGACCAGGAAGGCUCUCCUGCCUCUCCUCCUGUCCGCAGGCAGUUUAAGGCACACCAGGACUCUGGAACCGGGUUCACAUACAACAGCCUUGCUUCUCCAGAUUGCUGGGUCCCUUCAUCCAAAACCAGCAUGAUUGGUGAGCCCCUCUCCAUUCCUCCACCUUGAAGGGACCAGCUCCCCAUUUCGGCAGCCAUAACAGCCGAACACGCACUUGUCUGACCUUGCCUUGGUCACUAGGAGGUCAAAUGCCUGCCUCAUGGCAAGGAACCAAUCAGAAGUUAGCUGGUGGUGAUGUGCUUUACGGAUAAGUGCACAGCAAUGAUGCACAGAGCAUAGCAACCACCCUGGGAGGGCCUAUUGGUCAACCAGUUGACCAAUCAACACAAGGCAAACCCUCCAAGCCUGGAGGCACACCAAUCCUGAGCCUGUUCGUACCCCUAGACACUCCCCUUACGCUUCCCUAUAAGAUGCAAAUGCUUCGAGCUGUGUUUUCUAGCCGUCUUCCAUGGCCGGUGGAUGAAAGACCCAAGCUAACAUGGGGUUAGCUCGUUAAACAACUAUAAUAAAGCCUCGUGCAGUUCUCAUCAAGCUUUCGACUCUGCCUGGUGAUUGGAGUGACCAAGGUCCUGGGCUGAGAUCCUGGAGGCCUGAGCUUCCUUACAACCUCUGGCUGUUCCCACGAAUGAGAACUCCUCUCAUCUCUAGGGUGUGGUUUCUCACUUUUUGGCUUUGUUAAGUCCUGGUGCCAGGCAACCGCAGCUCUCUGGGGAUCAUCUGAGCCCUUGGCCCACCCUUUGUGUGAGGACCCACUGGGUGGCCUGUGCCAGUCUGGAUCCUCAAGUCCUUUGAUGGGGAAUGUACUGUGUAUGUUUAUCUUAUUGAUUGUUAAAUAAAAUACUGUUUGGCCAAUGAGACAGCAAGUAGAUGGGACUAGGAGUCAAAGAGGAUUCUGGGAAAUGUAGUAGAGAAGUGGUGAUCCAGGCAGGAAGUGACAUAGCAAGGAGACUCAUAUUUAAGUGAAGGAGAAACAGGAAGGGUCCCUUUAUCCCCUUCCUGCUCCAGCGGCAAGAUGUGAUCCCAGCAAGGAGGGACGCCAAUAAGGAGGGACGUCUGAUAAGAUAAGUCUUAUAAAAUACAUAGAUUUAUGAUAAUUGAGACUGAGCUAACAGAUGAGAAUCCUAGUCAUUGGCCAAG
This 2347-nucleotide long non-coding RNA is filed under the name Cricetulus griseus (Chinese hamster). RNAcentral describes it as "lncRNA (ENSCGRG00015038958.1)". The record is from RNAcentral. Lineage: Eukaryota; Metazoa; Chordata; Mammalia; Rodentia; Cricetidae.